Molecule: transfer RNA, 72 nt
Filed under: Candidatus Gottesmanbacteria bacterium RIFCSPHIGHO2_01_FULL_43_15
Lineage: Bacteria; Candidatus Gottesmaniibacteriota
Also listed under: 2 other names
Description: tRNA-Met
Rfam family: tRNA
About the family: Transfer RNA (tRNA) molecules are approximately 80 nucleotides in length. Their secondary structure includes four short double-helical elements and three loops (D, anti-codon, and T loops).
Source: RNAcentral
GCCAGCGUAGCUCAGGGGUAGAGCAGUGUCUUCAUAAGGCAUGGGUCGGGGGUCCGAAUCCCUCCGCUGGCA